UACGGGGGGAGCAAGCGUUGUUCGGAUUUACUGGGCGUAAAGGGCGCGUAGGCGGCUCUGCACGUUCGUUGUGAAAUCGCCCGGCUCAACUGGGCGGGGUCAGCGGAUACGGCAGAGCUUGAGCAAGCUAGGGGGCAAUGGAAUUCCCGGUGUAGUGGUGGAAUGCGUAGAUAUCGGGAGGAACACCAGUGGCGAAGGCGGUUGCCUGGGGCUUUGCUGACGCUGAUGCGCGAAAGCGUGGGGAGCGAUCCGG
RNAcentral lists this ribosomal RNA (253 nucleotides) under uncultured bacterium. RNAcentral describes it as "partial 16S ribosomal RNA". It matches the Rfam family "Bacterial small subunit ribosomal RNA", at positions 524 to 776 of the family's 1533-position model. The record is from RNAcentral.